Long non-coding RNA from Gekko japonicus, 431 nucleotides. RefSeq lists it as uncharacterized. Lineage: Eukaryota; Metazoa; Chordata; Lepidosauria; Squamata; Gekkonidae. The record is from RefSeq and is a predicted model, not a curated record. The transcript is spliced from 3 exons.
AUGAAGACUCGCUGCCUCCUCUUCCUUUUCGUUGGGCUCGUCUUCAUUCUCUGUGCCCAGGUGCCUCCUGCCUCUGCUCGUGUGCGCCCUGGAAGAUGCCCCAGGCCUGGUAUUGGGGUCUGUGCGAACUUGUGCAGGAGCGACAGCGGCUGUGAUGCAGGACAGAAAUGCUGCUUCAAUGGCUGUGGCCGCAGCUGCAUGAAGGCCAUUAGAGAAUAACCUGGUCUGAAGCCCGGAAUCACUGACAGCCGUCUGUGCGGAAGAACUGCUCCUGUCAAGAGUCGAUGUACCAACUCGGGCCCUGAUCCUCCUCCACUGUCCCGGAGUCCCCUCUCCUCUCUGUCAUCUUUCCACCCAAGGCACACCAAGAUAGCCUAAUUCUCUCUUCACCCUGAAGGGUCAUGCUGGAGGGGAACCGUGAUUAAAGACAC